UACGAAGGGGGCUAGCGUUGCUCGGAAUCACUGGGCGUAAAGCGCACGUAGGCGGACUCUUAAGUCGGUGGUGAAAUCCUGGAGCUCAACUCCAGAACUGCCUUUGAUACUGAAGAUCUUGAGUCCGGGAGAGGUGAGUGGAACUGCGAGUGUAGAGGUGAAAUUCGUAGAUAUUCGCAAGAACACCAGUAGCGAAGGCGGCUCACUGGCCCGGUACUGACGCUGAGGCACGAAAGCGUGGGGAGCAAACAGG
This 253-nucleotide ribosomal RNA is filed under the name uncultured bacterium. RNAcentral describes it as "partial 16S ribosomal RNA". It matches the Rfam family "Bacterial small subunit ribosomal RNA", at positions 524 to 776 of the family's 1533-position model. The record is from RNAcentral.